UCAAGGUGACUAUGUUUACUACACCAAAUCAACACAAGUAGAAUAAUUUAUACUUAUUUUAUACCUCGUUUUUAAAAUUAAAUAUAUGUGUUAAACACUAAAAUAAGAAAAUAUGCGAUUUAUUUAUGAAUAAUUAUAUUAACUUCAAUUAUAAUGUAUUGAUAUUUGAGUUUUUUAAUAUCUAAAAUUCUAAAAUAUAUCGUAUUUAUAUCAUAAUAUGUUGUUUAAGAAAAUUACAAUGAAAAAAAGACAUAAAGAAAAUGACAGUUUUUAUGGACA
RNAcentral lists this long non-coding RNA (279 nucleotides) under Lathyrus oleraceus (garden pea). RNAcentral's name for it is "Pisum sativum (pea) long non-coding RNA (PSAT_LNC006680)". Lineage: Eukaryota; Viridiplantae; Streptophyta; Magnoliopsida; Fabales; Fabaceae. The record is from RNAcentral.